Molecule: ribosomal RNA, 225 nt
Filed under: uncultured bacterium
Lineage: Bacteria
Description: partial 16S ribosomal RNA
Rfam family: Bacterial small subunit ribosomal RNA
Source: RNAcentral
GAUCCUGGCUCAGGAUGAACGCUAGCUACAGGCUUAACACAUGCAAGUCGAGGGGCAGCAUGAACUUAGCUUGCUAAGUUUGAUGGCGACCGGCGCACGGGUGAGUAACACGUAUCCAACCUGCCGUCUACUCUUGGACAGCCUUCUGAAAGGAAGAUUAAUACAAGAUGGCAUCAUGAGUCCGCAUGUUCACAUGAUUAAAGGUAUUCCGGUGGACGAUGGGGA